AUGGUGAGUGGCGGCACGCGUGGGACGACAUCUAUGGCGAUGGAUUCAAAGGGGAAACAGGGGGAAUUGAAAGAGGUCCUUACUACGAGCACGUGGCGUGGUCAGGGAGGCCGGAGGCGGGCCGGAGCUCGUGGGACGGCGACGAGAAGGCGACGGUGUCCGACGGGGAGAAGGCUCAAUCCCAAAGCUUGA
RNAcentral lists this ribosomal RNA (192 nucleotides) under Triticum aestivum (bread wheat). RNAcentral describes it as "partial small subunit ribosomal RNA". The record is from RNAcentral. Lineage: Eukaryota; Viridiplantae; Streptophyta; Magnoliopsida; Poales; Poaceae.